RNAcentral lists this ribosomal RNA (404 nucleotides) under uncultured prokaryote. RNAcentral describes it as "bacterial SSU rRNA". It matches the Rfam family "Bacterial small subunit ribosomal RNA", at positions 355 to 776 of the family's 1533-position model. The record is from RNAcentral. RNAcentral also lists the same sequence under 1 other name.
UGGGGGAUAUUGCACAAUGGAGGAAACUCUGAUGCAGCAACGCCGCGUGAGGGAAGACGGUCUUCGGAUUGUAAACCUAAGUUAUCAGGGACGAUUAUGACGGUACCUGAAGAGAAAGCUCCGGCUAACUACGUGCCAGCAGCCGCGGUAAUACGUAGGGAGCGAGCGUUGUCCGGAUUUACUGGGUGUAAAGGGUGCGUAGGCGGGCUGGCAAGUCAGGCGUGAAAUCCCGGGGCUUAACUCCGGGGCUGCGCUUGAAACUGUCGGUCUUGAGUGAGGUAGAGGCAAGCGGAAUUCCUAGUGUAGCGGUGAAAUGCGUAGAUAUUAGGAGGAACACCAGUGGCGAAGGCGGCUUGCUGGGCCUUAACUGACGCUGAGGCACGAAAGCGUGGGGAGCAAACAGG